RNA transcript from Tachysurus vachellii, 2017 nucleotides. It is a transcript of the gene named peroxisomal biogenesis factor 26, with no coding region annotated. The record is from RefSeq and is a predicted model, not a curated record. The transcript is spliced from 6 exons. Lineage: Eukaryota; Metazoa; Chordata; Actinopteri; Siluriformes; Bagridae.
AUGUUUAGUGCACUAGGUAGCGUGUUAGAAGCCUCGACGUAGUGCGCGUUUCUAGGCAACGCAUCUUGAUUGCGGAUCGAGCCAACGAAGAACUCGAUAGUAAACAAACACGACGCGUUGUAGCUGUAAAGUAGCUCUAAGAGUUUAUUAUACACAUUAUUAUGCCAUAAACGAUGGUGUUUAGGUGUUAAUCCGCUAUGCAGAGCGUUUGUUCAGCUAGUUUAUCAUCACCUGUCCUGUGUUUAUCACACGGCUCAGGGCUGGUGGACUCCGCCAUUGACCACUUCAUCAUCAGGAAUGAUUUCUACUCCGCGUUUGAGGCGUGUGAGAAGGGACUGGAGAGUUUAUCUCGUGUUGAUGCACAGGAACAAACCUGUUCCAGGCAUGGAGAGUUGAAAGCAGCGCUCUGCAUCAUUGGGAUUCAAGCUCUGGCUGAGUUAAACCAGUGGCAUGACGUUCUGAAAUGGGUUUUGCAGCAUUAUGGUGAAACAGAGCAAAUUCCUGCAAAGAUCAUGCAGAUGUGCAUUCUUCUCUACACCAAGGUGACCGAGCAGGCAGCGGUGCAGGAGGAGGUGAGGACAUGGCUGCACUGCUCUGCUAACACGAGUCUGUCAGGUUACAGCAGCGUGGCCGAGCUCUACAUCCUGCAUGUCCUUCUGCCGCUGGGCCAAACCGCCGAGGCCAAGGAGCUGCUGAUGGAUAACGUGGGACAAGUCGCCUUUACAGAGGCUCAGAGACAAACCGCACUGACGAUACUCGAGGAUCAUGAUGCUAAAAAGAAAAACCAUUCAUAUCCAAACCCUGAACCAGUCCCUGUGGAAACAGAGAAAGUGAUGAUAUCUCGAGGGUCAGUGGUGAGGAAGUUGAAUGCAGUUAUGAGGUUGUUGUACAGAGGACUCUCUUUGGCUGGUGUCACUACCUGGUCGCGCUUUAUUCACAGAACCGCUGUUCUUUUAUUCCUGCUCUACCUGCUGCUCAUAAGGAUGGACCCAGCUCUUCCCUCGGCUUAUCCAUGGAUCCUCCGGCUGUAUGUACUCUGGCAGCAGAUGUGGAAUGCCAUGUUUGGUCCAUACUACAGGGUUUCUUCCUGAAAAAUCCAGAAAAGAAAAUGUUAUUUUGAGCAAUAAGUUAUAGAAACACAGAUCUCAGACCAUGUACCAUGGAGGCCAUCGUCAGCAAGUGGAGAAAACGAGGCACCAUACUGACAUCCCUCUAAAACUGACAAAAGGCCAAGAAUAAAAUUUCAACCAUCAUGACAACAGAAUAUUUCAUGUUGCUGAUGAAAGAAAGCCCAUCCAUCCAUCCAUCUUCUGCCGCUUAUCCGGGUCCGGGUCGCGGGGGCAGCAGUCUAAGCAGGGACGCCCAGACUUCCCUCUCCCCAGACACUUCCUCCAGCUCUUUCGGGGGAAUACCGCGGCGUUCCCAGGCCAGCCGAGAGACAUAGUCCCUCCAGCGUGUCCUAGGUCUUCCCCGGGUCCUCCUCCCGGUUGCGCAUUCCUCCCCGGCAUCCAGGGAACACCUCCCCGGGAGGCAUCCAGGAGGCAUCCGGAAAAGAUGCCCGAGCCACCUCAGCUGACUCCUCUCGAUGUGGAGGAGCAGCUGCUCUACUCCGAGCUCCUCCCGAGUGACCAAGCUUCCUACACCCUACGGAGGAAACUCAUUUCGGCCGCCUGUAUCCAGGAUCUUGUCCUUUUGGUCAUGACCCAAAGCUCAUGACCAUAGGUGAGGGCAGGAAUGUAGAUCAACUGGUAAAUGGAGAGCUUCGCCUUGCAUCGACCGCAUCAAUGCAGAGGCUACACCGAUCCGCCUGUCGAUGUGUUUAUAACAGAGCUAGUCAAUAAGAACCUGGUUAAUGAGUAACUGGUUAACUUCCAGGAAUCAUCAAUCUAUCCCACUCUAUUAGUAUUGUCUGUCUAUCUGUCUGUCUUUUCAACUGUAUUGGCAUCAUUAUUAAUGGAGAGAAUUUAUGUCACUUUUUUCUGAAAAUGUUUCAACUUUUUUAAACAUUAAACAGUCU